This 954-nucleotide long non-coding RNA is filed under the name Jatropha curcas. RNAcentral's name for it is "long non-coding RNA (JCUR_LNC000549)". The record is from RNAcentral. Lineage: Eukaryota; Viridiplantae; Streptophyta; Magnoliopsida; Malpighiales; Euphorbiaceae.
ACGCUUUGAGGUAUUAGAUUUUUUUUAGAAAUAAAUAUUAUAGAUUUUUAAGAUAAUAAAAAAUUAUAAGAAAUUAAAACUUUUUUUAUUUUUACAUUUUGAGAUAUUAAAUAAUAAAUAUUGGUCUGCACAAAACAUCUCAUAUUUAUGAAUAUUUAAAUAGUAAAAAUUUUUGAUAAUAAAAUUUUCUUUUACAUUAAAAAAAUAAAAAUAAAACACUAAAAAAAAUUCAAUUUUUAAAAAACGCAAUUUCUUGAGACGGUAAAUAAAUAUUUACACUAUCUAGUCGGACGAAAAUUUGUGUGUCAAAAUUUAUGAGGAAGACACACAUAUAAUAAAGAAAAUCCAUUUCAUUAUAGCAAAUUGCUAAUAAGAGGAUUUAUAUUGUGACAUGUUGCCGUUUCACAUGAAAUGAGCUUCUUUUUUUUUUGUCGAUACAUAGGGGAGCAAGAGCUCAAAGCAAAACGAAAGCAAAGCUGCAAAACGAAAACAAAGCUAUACAGCUAUGCUGACUCGUUGAGUCGCGUUGCUACAAAUUUCAUAGUCUAUCCAAAUCGAUAAACCAGGAGGAGGAGACUGCAAAUUAGUUUAAUGAUACCUUCAAAUUGCAGGCCAAGAAAGUAGGAGGGUCAUCAGAAAAACAUGAAAUACAAAAAAAGACACGUGUAAUAAUUUAUUACAGAGAAGAACACCAAUGUUCAAUAAAUUCUUGUACUAGUAGAAAUCAAAUAACUACUACAAAAGGGAGAGGUAUGAAUUGGUAGGGAAGUGAGGAGCCAUAAUUGUGGAAGCUGAUGAUGAUUUUGAUUUUCUUUUGGGUAGUUUGACAGGUUUAGAUACUUUCAUGGUGGAGAUAGUUACAUCUUCAGAAACUCGAGAGGAUGGAGAAGAAGAAUGGAAGCAACUAAACAAAGCUGAGAAGAUAUAUAGAUGUCAUUUUUUUUUUUUUUUUUU